RNAcentral lists this ribosomal RNA (450 nucleotides) under uncultured bacterium. RNAcentral's name for it is "partial 16S ribosomal RNA". It matches the Rfam family "Bacterial small subunit ribosomal RNA", at positions 354 to 796 of the family's 1533-position model. The record is from RNAcentral.
GUGGGGAAUCUUCCGCAAUGGACGAAAGUCUGACGGAGCAACGCCGCGUGAGUGAAGAAGGUUUUCGGAUCGUAAAGCUCUUUCGUUAGGGACGAACGUGCUCUUUGUGAAUAAUGAGGAGUAAUGACGGUACCUAAAUAAGAAGCCACGGCUAACUACGUGUCAGCAGCCGCGGUAAUACGUAGGUGGCAAGCGUUGUCCGGAAUUAUUGGGCGUAAAGCGCGCGCAGGCGGGAUAUCAAGUCUGUCUUAAAAGUGCGAGGCUCAACCUCGUGAGGGGACAGAAACUGGUAUUCUUGAGUGUCGGAGAGGAAAGUGGAAUUCCAAGUGUAGCGGUGAAAUGCGUAGAGAUUUGGAAGAACACCAGUGGCGAAGGCGACUUUCUGGACGAUGUCUGACGCUGAGGCGCGAAAGCUAGGGGAGCGAACGGGAUUAGAUACCCUUGUAGUCC